AAAAAUACCUCCCUCCACCUCACUCUCCUGCUGGUAAUAGCUUAUCUAAAGUGACCACUCUCCUUACAAUGUGUAUGAUAAUCAAGGUGGGCCAUUUCCAGCACAAAUCCAGGGUUUAUCAAGAACGUCUGAGGUGUGGGGAAGGGGGUGGG
Chelonia mydas (Green sea turtle) is the source of this 152-nucleotide long non-coding RNA. RefSeq lists it as uncharacterized. Lineage: Eukaryota; Metazoa; Chordata; Testudines; Cheloniidae. The transcript is spliced from 3 exons. The record is from RefSeq and is a predicted model, not a curated record.